UUACGGCCAUAUCACGUUGAAACACUAGUUCACAUACGAUAACCGAGAUUAAUCAACGUCGAGCCUGGCUACUAGCUAGAUGGGUGACCGCUUGGGAAUACCAGGAAUUGUAAG
This is a non-coding RNA of Acanthosepion pharaonis, 114 nucleotides long. Lineage: Eukaryota; Metazoa; Mollusca; Cephalopoda; Sepiida; Sepiidae. The record is from the annotation of a GenBank genome assembly.